AUUUUGUUCUUCUCUCUCGCUUUAAAUUUUCUGGGUUGCUCUAAAUUGGUCUAGUCUUAAGUUUGAGUUAAACGUUUUUGGGUUAGCAACCAUCCAUGCAUGUGUCUUGGGUUAGCUUAAUGUAUUGAUUUUGUUUCUCUCUUCUUCUUUUUUUUUUUUCCUUCGAGAGCUUUUAAUUUGGAGAUUGAUGUUAUUGUAGUGGCUUCUUCAUGGACACCCAAAUUUGGUAUGUGGUGAUGGCACUGGGGCCUUUGGUUGUUUGGGAGAGGUCAGUGCUGCAAGAAGAACUGAAGCAGCAAAUCUUUCCCAACUCUAGAAUGAAAUAACUUGCAGCUUUCGUCAGGAAGAUCUCAUUAGUGAGAGCAGAGCGAUUGAUUUUUCAUUCAUCCCAGAGGUCUCAUUCCA
This is a non-coding RNA of Camelina sativa (false flax), 405 nucleotides long. The record is from RefSeq and is a predicted model, not a curated record. Lineage: Eukaryota; Viridiplantae; Streptophyta; Magnoliopsida; Brassicales; Brassicaceae.